Molecule: long non-coding RNA, 608 nt
Organism: Drosophila subpulchrella
Lineage: Eukaryota; Metazoa; Arthropoda; Insecta; Diptera; Drosophilidae
Exons: 6
Source: RefSeq, a predicted model, not a curated record
CAUCCGAAAUUUCUUUUGGUUAAGGUCGGCGCGUAAUAAAUGUUAGUUAAAUAUAUUAAAAAUGGAACUGAUACCACUUAUAUUUGGGAUAUAUGAUGCCCUGACCAUGGGUAAAAUAUCGUAUAUAAAGGCAGACGGUAGAACAAAUAUAACAAGAUGAGAUUAAGGGCGAGCAUUGGAACUGCCGGGCUCCACGUGGUGCAAUGUGAGACACCUGGAGACAUUUCAACAUUGAACUUCUAAGGAGAAUAUCAUCCCAAGGACUAUGAAUUGAGCAUGAGAUAAAUUCUAAUACAUCUUCCGCCCACUAAAAGGCAAUGCAUAAGGAUACUUUUUAAGCAGUGGAUUCUGACUCACAGUUCAUCAAAAGGUAAAACUUAAAUGUGAGGUCUUCAACGGACUAACCAGUGCUUAUCGUAUGGAUCAAUUAAAAGGCUGUGCAAAAAGGAUAAUUCCUCAAGAACGCAUUUUCAUUGACAGGUUAUUAAAAGGAUGCAAAAGGAUUCUGCCCUGGGUGUUAUAAAGGAAUCUUUAAACAAAAUACCGUUCCAUAUAUAAAAUAAAUUCUUUAUUUAAGCAUACACAAUAAAAUAUUUUAACUGUCUAAA